RNAcentral lists this ribosomal RNA (253 nucleotides) under uncultured bacterium. RNAcentral's name for it is "partial 16S ribosomal RNA". It matches the Rfam family "Bacterial small subunit ribosomal RNA", at positions 524 to 776 of the family's 1533-position model. The record is from RNAcentral.
UACGAGUGCCUCAAGCGUUAUCCGGAAUCAUUGGGCGUAAAGGUUGUGUAGGUGGUUGUAUUAGUCUCUUGUUAAAUUCUUCGGCUUAACCGGGGGCAUGCAAGGGAAACGGUAUAACUUGAGGAUGCGAGGGGUCUGCGGAACUCAUAGUGUAGCGGUAAAAUGCGUUGAUAUUAUGGGGAACACCGAAAGCGAAGGCAGCAGACUGGAGCACUCCUGACACUGAAACAAGAAAGCGUGGGUCGCGAAUGGG